This is a non-coding RNA of Poecilia latipinna (sailfin molly), 547 nucleotides long. Lineage: Eukaryota; Metazoa; Chordata; Actinopteri; Cyprinodontiformes; Poeciliidae. The record is from the annotation of a RefSeq genome assembly.
AGCUGAUCUGUCCCUGAACUCUAAAGAGACUCAAACUUCCUCCUUCAGCUCAGCUCUCCAACAUUAACUCUGCUCAACAUGCUGUCUCUGCUCACAUCUGGAUUCUCUCUGCUGGUUCUGAUCACUGGAUCAGCUGUAAACUGUCAACAACUCACUGCAGGGAAGACUGAGGAGUUCAGUUCAGAGGGCAGCUCUGCUACUGUGUCCUACAAUUACUCUAAAGCUGCUGUUUAUGAUGAUUAUUUCUUCUGGUAUCGACAAUAUCCUGGAAAACCUCCAGAGUUCCUGAUCUCACACACGGGAACAGGAACACAAACAUCUCAGCAGCUUCUUGGUUUCUCCUUCAGCGUGAGUGAUGAUAAAACCCGGAUGGAUCUGCUGAUCUCCUCUGCUGCAGUGACAGACUCUGCUGUGUACUACUGCGCUGUGCAGCCCACAGUGACAGGAAACACCAGAACCCUGGACAAAAACCUGCAGUACUCCACAGCAGCCACUAGAGGGCCUCACUCCCUGUUAAACCACUAAAACCUGCAGUACUCCACAGCAG